CGCCGCCGGCCUGCCGCCCCCGCGCCGCCCUGACGCAGCCGGCCCGCCCUUCGCCCCCGCGGCGCCGGCUUCUUGUGACGUCGCAGCCCAGCCCUCGCGCUUCGUCCCCCGAGCGCGGCGGGGCGGCGGGGCGGCGGGGCGGCGGGGCGGCGGGGCGGCGGGGCGGCGGGGCGGCGGGGCGGGCGGGCGCUCGUGACCUGUCGGAAGCUCUGUGGGGAAGGACCCGUCUUUUGUAAUUUCCUACGGUUUCCUAAUAAGGGUGAAAAUGCGGGCACCUCUGAACUUGCAAGCUGGGAGUUCUGAUCCAAGAGUGGCAUCUGGAGAGGCUCGGUGUAAAAAGCGGUUAAAGAGCUUCCAGGAGUGGUUAAUCCUUUUGUAAGCUAUUUGAAGCCAAAAUGGAAAUCAAGUGUUUCCAGACUACAAGGCCACCCUGUGGGCCUCUCAGUGUGGCAGCACCUGUUCCCAGUUCUGCCAGCGGAUGCUGUUACUCUGGCUCUACACUCGGGGAACCUAAAGCCCGCAUCACUGAUGAGCCAUGUGGAGGUCCAUGCCUGGAAUCCAAACCCAUGAACCCCAGGCUGCUGAAGCGGAGCAUGCGAACUUAACUGCUACACCACAGGGCGGCCUCUCUUCUCUUCUUAUAAGGACAUCAGUCAUUGGAUUUAGCAUCUAUCUUAAUCUGAUGUCGCCGCAUGUUUUCCCUUAGAAGAGGACUUCCUCAUCUCCUAACUAGUUCAAUAUGCCGCACUCUGUCCUGGGAAUGGAUGUUCCACCCGUCAAAGCGACUCAGUGUGUGUUCGCGCCAUCUAGUGGACAACUCGGAUUUAGCACCGCGGGCUUUACGUCUGACCGGGCGCCUCCCGAAAGCACGGAAAGAGCCAGAAAGCGGCACUACUGUGUCCUCGGUGUCUCUAUGCAGAAUCUCCCCAAAGAGAAGUGUCUCCUCUAUUAUGUGGAAAGAAAACACACACAUUUAUUUUGUAGUUUAUUUUAUUACCUAUUUUAUUUCAUCUUUAUGACUUUCUUCGUCUUGCCGUUGAAAUUUAAAAUGUUUCCUAAUAUCCUUGUGGGAGAUGAUAAAAAUAACUCAUAUAGCUGUUCUCCUUUCUUUAUAACAGUGUUUUUAUUCAGCAAGGAUUGGAUUCUAUUUCUUUCUCCUCUGGGAUGUUUCCCUAGUCCACGGCUGACCUUUCUUAGGAAUUAAUUGAAAAGGAAAUGGCGGAUACCAUUCAGCCCCUGGGCCUGGUAAACCAGUAGAGGCCAGGCUUGGAGGUCGCCGGGGCCAGCUGAGACAAGCUGCCAGGGAACUCUGCUGCUCUGUGUUAGGAAGACUUCUUGUUACCCUGAUGUGGACGAGCUGAUCACACAUGGCCACACCUUCAGGGCAAAGGUUCCUGGAUAUCACUAGAGCUCUGCAUACCGAAAAUGGUGUAAAUUCCAGACCCUGCCCAGAUGAACUGCGUCUAAAGUUACAAAUAACAUAUAUAGUGGCCAAAUUCAUUGACCGGAACUGUUUUCACAAGAAAGAUGCUGAUCAAAACAGAGUUGAACAGAAGAUGGAGUAGAAGAAAGGGAAAAUGAAUGAUUCAGUUAUUGCUAACUUGUAGGAAAUAAAUAUUUGGUAAAUAAGAAACGAACUUUUGAGAGAAAAACGUUAAUUCACUGAGAAAUAAGGAUAAUGAAUUCAUUUUAAUUGUCUGCCUAAUUUCAUACAUGUAACCUACUUCUUUCCUUGAUGUCAUAUUAUCAUGGGAUCUUUAUAAGGGACCUUGAAAUUUCAUGUGACACAUUUCAGUGAUUGCAGGUCAGAACUCAUUUCAUCCAUCCAGGGAAGUGAGAGUCUAUCUGCUCUCAAAGAAUUAGGAAGAAAGGGAUUCCAACCUGAUGGGGAAACGAAAUGAUAAGGAUUAUGAGAAUGAUCGGAUGGGGAGGGGGGCUUUUUCUGUUGCCCCGGAUUUGAAAGAAGGCCCAGAGCUAAAAACGGUAAUGGGGAUCUGAAACUUUCUCCAAAGUUUUUCUAAGGGGCUGGGCCUCAGUCCCCACCUACACCCCCUGCCCCUUAACACCCAGUCCAGGGUCUACAGAAGAAGCCUGAGGAGAAGUGAGGUGGGCCGUUCCUCCCCUCCCACUGGGGAGGGACUUCUCCUGACUCCCACUGCCUAGUAACGAAAGAGGCUCUGACAGUGGCUUUCAGGGCUGAGCCUGGUCACCUCUGCUUAGGUAGCAGACUUGCUGGGCUGCCAUUCCUCCCCGAGCCGAGAAGAUGGAAGCUGGGGAGACCUGGCUGGCCCGGUGGAAUUGGCGACCGUGGAGCAGCCAGCUUGCCCGCCUAUUAUGUCGCAUGACCAGGGUGCAGGAAAUUCCUUAGGACCAGAGGACGUAAGGAAGGCAGCUAUCCUUGAGCUACCUGGCUAUACGCCCCCCACAACCCCAAAGACUGUGCACCACGAUUUGGGUAUAUUAUUGGGCUAGUUGAGGGGUGGGUGGGAGAGGUCCAGCUAGAGCUGAAUCUUCCGUAUUGGGGGACUGCACACUGGGAAGACCCGUCUGGCUAAAUUUCACAUGUGUUCCCCAUGAGGCAGAGUUCAGAUGCUGGCAUGCACACUCAGAUCGCCGGAGAAGCAGAGCAGUCAACAGAGCGGGGGCCACAGCUGUCUCUUUCCUUCCCUUUCUUCCUGACUCCGAUCCUGAGGGAGCCAGGCCUGGGAGGGGGAAGAAGGAGUGUCUCAGAGCCUGGACUCCCUCCAGCCUCAUCUCACUCUAAGCAGUCAGGG
This is a long non-coding RNA of Equus asinus (donkey), 2774 nucleotides long. Lineage: Eukaryota; Metazoa; Chordata; Mammalia; Perissodactyla; Equidae. The record is from Ensembl.